This 208-nucleotide ribosomal RNA is filed under the name uncultured prokaryote. Its description in RNAcentral is "partial 16S ribosomal RNA". It matches the Rfam family "Bacterial small subunit ribosomal RNA", at positions 524 to 731 of the family's 1533-position model. The record is from RNAcentral.
UACAGAGAGGGCAAGCGUUGUCCGGAAUGACUGGGCGUAAAGCGCGCGCAGGCGGUCUUUUAAGUUGGGUGUGAAAUCCCCGGGCUUAACCUGGGAACUGCAUUCGAUACUGGAAGACUAGAGGCCGAGAGAGGAAAGCGGAAUGACGAGUGUAGAGGUGAAAUUCGUAGAUAUUCGUCGGAACACCAGAGGCGAAGGCGGCUUUCUG